GGAGAGAUGGUCGAGUGGUUUAAGGCUCCGGUCUUGAAAACCGGUGUAGGCGUAAGCCUACCGUGGGUUCGAAUCCCACUCUCUCCG
RNAcentral lists this transfer RNA (87 nucleotides) under Spirochaetales bacterium. Its description in RNAcentral is "tRNA-Ser". It matches the Rfam family "tRNA". From Rfam's summary of the family: Transfer RNA (tRNA) molecules are approximately 80 nucleotides in length. Their secondary structure includes four short double-helical elements and three loops (D, anti-codon, and T loops). Lineage: Bacteria; Pseudomonadati; Spirochaetota; Spirochaetia; Spirochaetales. The record is from RNAcentral.